RNAcentral lists this unclassified non-coding RNA (2154 nucleotides) under Hevea brasiliensis (rubber tree). The record is from RNAcentral. Lineage: Eukaryota; Viridiplantae; Streptophyta; Magnoliopsida; Malpighiales; Euphorbiaceae.
UGGGACAAAAGCUUGAUUGUCUCAUUGUAAUAUCAAAAGUUGGAAAUUGAUACAUGAGAAGAACAGCUUUAAGUGACCAAUCAGAAGUUUCAGUUUAGAGAAUCAAUUCAUAGGCUCCUUUGAUUUUUAUGCUUUGUUUUAAGGUCGCAAUUCUUAACCAUUCAACACUUUAUUUGCAGAAAAUUCAAAUUGAAUUGACUUUGAUGGUUUUUGGGGAAGAGAAAAUAUCACAUAAAACAAAAUUAACAUUGAUGCCUCUUCUGGGAGCCCGCAUGAGUUUCCUGCUCCGUAUCAGCUUAUCUUUUUCAGGUAAUCUUCUCAUAGUUUUUCCAAUCUGUGACUGAAGGAGUAAAUUCUGGGACCAAGUAAUUUGGUUGCUAGAAAAUCUCAUUAGAGCCUUGUGAGAAACCAAUGGAAGAUGCCCUAAACAACAUAUUGGAUGUGGCACAAGAAGAAAGCUUGCUAGUUACUUGCUUUUGUAUGAAGACCAGAUUGUUCAGGAAAAGAAGCACAAUAACCUGAUAAGAAUAAGAACAAAUUAGUAGUCGCAGUUAGAAAAAUAAACAGUGGCACAAGAAGACUGACCAGCGGAAAAAUUAAAGAAGCUUCCACUUGACAGAUGCUAUAACAGUCGAGUGCUGUAGAUACUGUUAUUCUGAUUCAGAUGUUGAGCCAACUUGGGCUGUAAGCUAGACUGCUUAUUGCUCAACAACAAUAAAUAUUUUGAGGCACUCAUUCUGUCCUUAAAAUUCUCAACAUAUGCUGCAACCGAAUGUCAAGUUAUAAAUGCUUCCAAGUGUAACAACCAAGGACAUAUUUUAAGGAAAACUUCGGGUUCUUUUGUAAUUAAACCUAGUUAAGAAGACGUUUUUCCAAAGAACAAUACUGAAUUGGAAAGUGAGGCAUCUUGAAUUUAGGAACUGCUUUCCGUGUUUUCACUUCAUCAUCACCAAUGAUGACAGAAGGAUUCCUUCCAGCCUGUAAGGAAAAGUAAUAAGAAAACAAGCUCAAAAGGGACAAACACAAAGCAACUUAUCUUUAAACCCUGUACUAGCUAAUUUCCAAAAGAUAAAAAGAACCGUUGAAUGUUAUCAAUGUCAUCAAACUUCAUCAAGAAACCUACCCAAGUGAUUAGAACUUUUCCAUAACUAUCAAUGGCUAUAAUUUCUAUUCAAAAGAACUGCUAAAUGUUAUCAAUUCAAUGCCACUGGCUCAUCAUGAGCACUCAAAUGUUUAAUUUACCAAUGGGCACGCACAUUGACAAGUUUUAAUACUGAACUACCUGAAAAUUGCUAGGAACACCGAACACCAAGUUCUAUAGCUUCCAACAUAUAACUGCAUUGAUAUAAACAAAUCAACUCUUCAUUAUCAAUCAGAAAAUUUUCAGGCUGAACAUAUUUUGUAAUAAAAUAGUCCCAACAUUCAAUUUUUGAAGGAAAAGAAUAAUGAUUUAUAGAAAAAAAUAUAGUCCAACAAUAUAUUUUUUUUUUCAAAUUUAACCCAUUUAUCUACCAAAAUGCACGAGUUGAUAAUGAUCAAUUAUGCCAGUCAAACAUGUAUUUCAAGAAAAGUCACAAACAAACAGGGAAAAGGAACAAUAAACCAAUAGUUUCAAAAGCUUCUCAAGCAAAGAUCUAGGAUCCAUUUACAUGAAAAAAAAAUUUCAUUCCUGGCUGGAGAAAUUGGGUCGAUUGUACUACAAAUUCAUAAUUGAACAAGGAAGGCCACAAUCUUCCAUUAAAGCAGAAGCAGCAACUUACAAAGGUCUAACAUUCACAAUCUGUAACAGAAUUAACUCAUUAUAAUGAUAAUCAGCACAACUAAUUCCAAAUAAAGAGAAAUGAAAAUUGAUAUUAGUUAAUUCCUGGGAUUCCAACCAAGAAAGCUUAAGUAAUAAAAAUUGAUAUUCGUUCUUUCAGCGUCGUUUUCCAGCGAGUAAGGAAGUAAAAUUAAGGUUAGGGUUUUGAUGCGACACCUUACAAUACGGAGAUGAGUACAAGCACUAGCAGAGACCUUCAAAAUCGACAUCAAGUCGCGAAAGAGGAAAUCCGAGAGAAAUCGAACGCCCUAAAUCACUUCUGAUUUGAGCUUCGUAAAGGCAGAGGAGAAAGUGACACUUCUGAUUGAGUCUUUAGGAAACUGAAUACGUAUACG